UAGAGUUUGAUCCUGGCUCAGGAUGAACGCUAGCUACAGGCCUAACACAUGCAAGUCGAGGGGCAGCGGGAAAUAAGCUUGCUUAUUUUGCCGGCGACCGGCGCACGGGUGCGUAACGCGUAUCGAACCUGCCGCUCACUGGGAAAUAGUCUCCUGAAAGGGAGGUUAAUGUCCCAUGGCGUCAUAUAAGGACAUCCUUUAAUGACGAAAGAUUCAUCGGUGAGCGAUGGCGAUGCGUCCCAUUAGGUAGUUGGCGGGGCAACGGCCUACCAAGCCGACGAUGGGUAGGGGUUCUGAGAGGAAGGUCCCCCACAUUGGAACUGAGACACGGUCCAAACUCCUACGGGAGGCAGCAGUGAGGAAUAUUGGUCAAUGGGCGAGAGCCUGAACCAGCCAAGUAGCGUGAAGGAUGACGGCCCUAUGGGUUGUAAACUUCUUUUACAGGGGAAUAAAGUGAGUUACGUGUAGCUUAUUGCAUGUACCCUGCGAAUAAGGAUCGGCUAAUUCCGUGCCAGCAGCCGCGGUAAUACGGAAGAUCCGAGCGUUAUCCGGAUUUAUUGGGUUUAAAGGGAGCGUAGGCGGGCUGAUAAGUCAGUGGUCAAAGCGUGUGGCUCAACCAUACCACGCCGUUGAAACUGUCAGUCUUGAGUGCACGCGAGGAUGGUGGAAUUCGUGGUGUAGCGGUGAAAUGCUUAGAUAUCACGAAGAACUCCGAUUGCGAAGGCAGCUGUCCGGAGUGCAACUGACGCUGAUGCUCGAAAGUGCGGGAAUCAAACAGGAUUAGAUACCCUGGUAGUCCGCACCGUAAACGAUGAAUGCUCGUUCUGCGCGAUAGACUGUGCGGAACCAAGCGAAAGCGUUAAGCAUUCCACCUGGGGAGUACGCCGGCAACGGUGAAACUCAAAGGAAUUGACGGGGGCCCGCACAAGCGGAGGAACAUGUGGUUUAAUUCGAUGAUACGCGAGGAACCUUACCCGGGCUUGAAUUGCAGACGAAUGUGGCGGAAACGCCGCAGCCGCAAGGCGUCUGUGAAGGUGCUGCAUGGUUGUCGUCAGCUCGUGCCGUGAGGUGUCGGCUUAAGUGCCAUAACGAGCGCAACCCCUACCGCCAGUUACCAUCGGGUAACGCCGGGGACUCUGGCGGGACUGCCGUCGUAAGGCGCGAGGAAGGUGGGGAUGACGUCAAAUCAGCACGGCCCUUACGUCUGGGGCGACACACGUGUUACAAUGGGCGGCACAGAGGGCAGCGACGCGGCGACGCGGAGCCAAUCUCACAAAACCGCUCUCAGUUCGGAUCGGAGUCUGCAACCCGACUCCGUGAAGCUGGAUUCGCUAGUAAUCGCGCAUCAGCCAUGGCGCGGUGAAUACGUUCCCGGGCCUUGCACACACCGCCCGUCA
This 1397-nucleotide ribosomal RNA is filed under the name uncultured bacterium. RNAcentral's name for it is "16S ribosomal RNA". It matches the Rfam family "Bacterial small subunit ribosomal RNA". The record is from RNAcentral.